GUUGGUUUGGUGUUUUUUUUUCCUUGCAUUUCCGACAGCCACCCAAGAACCAGCUGGUAGAGAUUUAACCCGCUCCAAUCCCAUCUCCCACCAUGGAAAACUGCCCACAGCCAAGCCGUUGGACAAGCCGCCAGUUCCCAUUCCUACUCCCCGGGAACAGGCGCAGCAGAAAGGGCUUGCGCCUUUGAGUUCUUCAAAUUAAUAACCCUGGGAAGGGAAGGGCAGAGAGCCGGCAGAUGAAAGGCAAGGUACGGACUUUGAUCGUGCAAUCGGAGCCAUGCGGGCAGGCUCCCGAACCAUGUGGAGCACCACUGAAGGUCAGCCUGGGCUGAUCAGAUUGCAGCAGGAGAGCCACAGAAAGCAGGGCAAACGGAGGUGGAAAAAUCUAUACACAUCUGCCAAGAGAUGAAAGAAAAGUUUGCCUCCGAUGCUGGGAUUUAUGAAUAAGAUCCUCUGGCUGCACAACACCAUGUGCAUGAACACCAUGUUCAUUCACCUGUGAAUGAACACUUUUCAUGAGGAAGAAAGAGCACAUGGAAAAGUGAUUGCUCUGCUACUUCUGAACUCUGGAAUUCUCUUGAUGUGCUGUUACAAGCCAGAAAAGAUCACACAGAGCACUGCAUACGAACAUACACAGGCUUUAUCCAGUGAUCUCUUUUGAAGCAAACCUGAAAAAGGCUGUAGAUGGUGUACACAUUACAGCUAUUAAAGGUCAUGGAUAAGACAGCUAUUUAUUAGUUCAAGUAAGGUCAGUGUUACAUCCACAGGCAGAGAGCUCUGCCUGUUGCACAAGUGACAGUGUCUGCCCUUAAUGUCCCGAGAAACUUUUGACAAGCUAAGCAUAUAUAACAAGCCACAAACCUUACAUACAACUGCUGCAGUUCAUUAAUGUUCAACAGGAAGGUAUCAUAUCUGAAAUGGGUUCCAUUUCUGUAUCAUAGUGCAUUUCCUCUCCUCCAAGCUCUCCACUGGUGACUGCUGACAAAGAAAUUGUAUCCCCUGAUGGAGAAAGAAAGCUCACUAACUAGUAAAUUGGUGGCUGUGGCUCUUCCCAAGAACCAUUCUCCUUUGCUGCUAUUUAGGAAUAUUCUACCCCACAUACUAAACUAUUGGUUCAUUUACUUUCUUUAUACACACGGAAAAUGGGACCUUGGAAAACAAUUCGUGCCAGUUUUAGACUUCUACUGGAACUAAAAUCAGGGUCUUGGUUGAAUUCCAAACCCAGUUUUUGGAGGAAAACUGUUAUAUAACUCUUUCCCUUUCUGGGAGACAGCCGUCGUAGAAGAGCUUGUGAGAAGCAGUCAAAUCUCUUGCAGGUCUUGAGACAUAUGGCAAAGUAGGAGAGCAGAAGGUUACCUUAAGGUCAGGGUGUUUCCCAUCCUUAUGUGGUAUAUUCAAAUGCUACAGGCAGGCAGGAACACUUCUGCUACAUUCACCUCCAAGAAACAUCUUCUCACUUUAAGUAAUUUGCCCUGCUAAAUCCUGCUCUACAGACAGUAUCUUCUUCCUGGAAACUUUGUUAUUAUAAACAAACAAGGGCAAAGAAAUGAAGAAUAAUCUUUAACGCCUGUCCCUAAAUAUCCAAUCUACCUUUCAAGAACUAAAGAUCUCACCAUACUUGGCACGGAAGCUGGACAAAAGAGAUGAAGUUUGAAACCCAGAUACUGCAACUCAGCCCUUCAAACAGGAAAGCAAACUCAAGAAGUAGUAGGUUGGAUCUUAGAACCAUUUAGUCAUUUAGGUUAGAAAUAUCUCCAAGAUCAUCGAGUCCAACCACUAACACGGUGCUGACAAAUCCACCAUUGAACUAUGUCCCUAAGUACCAUGUUUACCCAUCUUCUAAAUACUUCCAGAGAUGGUGACUCAACCACUUCCCUAGGCAGCCUGUUUGAAUGCUGAAGAAUCCCUUUGUUCUUUUAUUCUAAAUCAAAUCGAAUAUAAAAUUGUCAUAGAAACAAUUAAGAGAAGGCCAGGAUCAUGCUGCAGAGAAGUCCUGAAAGUGUAUUCAGCUGUCCAUGAAUAGUGAAAAUACACAUGAACUUUACAAAGUGACUCCGUGGAUGACUCCUGUAGGAUUUCUCUUUAAUUGUAAGAACAAAAAGGGGAAAAAUUAGAUGUUAAGUCUUUCUCACUGUUUUCACAGCUUAAAUACCUAUGGGCACUAAAUCAACACAAGUACAAUGAUGAAAUUAGUAAGUAAACAACUACAACCUUCACUGCUGCACAAAGAAGCUUGAAACCAAAGGAAGAUCAAUAUGAGUAAUUCCAACUCCAAAUUUGUAAACCAAAUCCAGAAGAAAAUGUCUCCUUACAAGAGAUCAUAUUGGGGCCCAAAUGGCUUCAAGACAAAGUGUAAAUGAACCACUCUCCUCUGUGAAGGCUCAAAAUUGGCUGCUCAAGUUAACCACCCGUGAGUUUUCCCACAGAAGCAGGAGCUUGAAGAGACUGUUACUGCUGGCACCACAUUCCCUGCAAUGACCUGGCAGCGUGUGAUUACCACAUAAACUUCUCUCUCCUCCCCCAAAAACAAACACAAAAUGAAGGAUGCUGUCAAUGCCAUUAGGCACUGGAGAUCACUGCAGCUGUAUCUCCCUACAUUUACUUUCUUCUUGCAGGAUUAUUUUAACAGACUAUUAAAUAAAGUUAACUAGCAAUGAAACAAGAACUGAUUACAAACAUCUCAAUUUUCUAAAGCUGAACUCCCACCCUCUAUCACUGGAGUAAAAGUCCAAGUGAUGAAAUAAACCUUGAACUUUGUAGCUUUACUCAUCAUUUUUGGAAACAAAUGAGCACCUUGUCCCAGACACCGCAAUUCAGCAACUUCAUCUGUAUACGUGUCAGAAAGAGGGAGCAGAAAACUCCAGCCAGCCAGUAUCCAAACAAGAGCAUUCCCCUGAUCAACGUCACUUACUGGAAUUGCACUUGGAAAGGACGCACACCAGUGCAGUUACUAUCACACCACCAUGACCCAGUUCCGGGAAGGAAGCUGUGCUCCCAACCCAGUGGUCUCAAAAAGUGGGCCACAUGAGCAGCAACCAAUCAUCUAGGUAAAAAAUGAGUGGGAGAAUGAAAAGGAGGAGCUAUUUACGACCAACAGGUUCAGCAAAACUCAACCUGCAUUAUCCUGCUAGCUCUCCCAGAAGCAAGUGAGCAGGAAAGAUGACAAAGAGGUUUGAACUGGAACUCACUGACAGAGGAACGAGGGGCUUGUAAGGACCGUAGCCUUCUCAGCUUCCAAAGUCCCCAAAGGAAUAAUGGGUACCUUGUGAAUGUGUACUGGUUCUCUCUCUAAUCUCAGCCACCUCAGUUGUUCCUGAACACUAAACUCCGUUUCAUUGAAGAAAAAGGAUAACAGAAUUUCUGUCUUCCUGGUGUAGAACAUUCAGCUGCCACAAAAGACAACACUGCAGAUACAGGAAAAGAGAACUAUUUAAAUAAGUAUUUUUCCCAUUUUUUGUCCAAGGUAAUUCCAAAUAAUGAGCAAGGGGAGGGAAGUUCACUAUGUUAUAUGGGUUCAUCCUAAAUUGGAUUGCAAGAUAUAUUAGAAAAAGAUAGAUUUAAAUAUGAUUGAGUAAAAAUUCCUACCUGGGCUUGAAACUAUCAUAAUUAGACUUUUCAAUGUUUUUUGUCCUGUUACAGUCUGAUUUAAACCAGGUAUAAUACAAUUUUGAAUCAUAUUCAAACAAGGUACCUCAACCAAUUUAAACUAUAUUUAGAUCGCAGUAUUUUUACUACUAAAGAAACCUAACAGAGGAACAACAUGCUUGGAACAUCUGUCGCAGUGAUUGAAAGAAGUCUAUGACAGGAAUAGCAAACAGUUAUUUUCUUUCCUGAAAUGAUGUCAAUCUGUUGAAGCAAAGUAUCAGUGAAGUAUAUUGUUUCUAAGAGGUACCUCACUCUGGCCUGUCUUCUCCAAAUGAAGAUGAUUAAAAUACCCCCUUGCUGCA
Long non-coding RNA from Parus major (Great Tit), 3947 nucleotides. RefSeq lists it as uncharacterized. The transcript has 2 exons. The record is from RefSeq and is a predicted model, not a curated record. NCBI's taxonomy places the organism in Eukaryota, Metazoa, Chordata, Aves, Passeriformes, Paridae.